This 216-nucleotide ribosomal RNA is filed under the name Glomeromycotina sp. Its description in RNAcentral is "partial small subunit ribosomal RNA". The stretch from base 40 to 216 matches the Rfam family "Eukaryotic small subunit ribosomal RNA", at positions 686 to 864 of the family's 1831-position model. The record is from RNAcentral. Lineage: Eukaryota; Fungi; Glomeromycota.
GGGUCAGUAGGUUGGUCGUGCCACCGGUACGUACUGGUCUCACUGAUUCCUCCUUCCUGAAGAACCGUAAUGCCAUUAAUUUGGUGUUGCGGGGAAACAGGACUGUUACUUUGAAAAAGUUAGAGUGUUUAAAGCAAGCUAACGCUUGAAUACAUUAUCAUGGAAUAAUGAAAUAGGACGAUCGAUCCUAUUUUGUUGGUUUCUAGGAUUGACGUA